RNAcentral lists this ribosomal RNA (253 nucleotides) under uncultured bacterium. RNAcentral's name for it is "partial 16S ribosomal RNA". It matches the Rfam family "Bacterial small subunit ribosomal RNA", at positions 524 to 776 of the family's 1533-position model. The record is from RNAcentral.
UACGAAGGGGGCUAGCGUUGCUCGGAAUCACUGGGCGUAAAGGGUGCGUAGGCGGGUCUUUACGUCAGGGGUGAAAUCCUGGAGCUCAACUCCAGAACUGCCUUUGAUACUGAGGAUCUUGAGUUCGGGAGAGGUGAGUGGAACUGCGAGUGUAGAGGUGAAAUUCGUAGAUAUUCGCAAGAACACCAGUGGCGAAGGCGGCUCACUGGCCCGAUACUGACGCUGAGGCACGAAAGCGUGGGGAGCAAACAGG